GCAGGAGAAUGACGUGAACCCGAGAGGCAGAGCUUGCAGUGAGCUGAGAUCCGGCCACUGCACUCCAGCCUGGGCGACAGAGCGAGACUCCGUCUCAAAAAAACAAAAACAAAAACAAAAACACAGUAAGAACAAGUAACAAAGAAAUCCAGUCAAUUAUGGGAGAAGUUUCUGCAGUUCAACAAGAGGAAUCAAAUGACCUAUAACAAAACAGCAACUCAGACUGUGAUGUCAUGAAAACCUGUUUUCCAACACCAGAGGAAGAACUUUCAGAUGCAAGCAUGUUUCUGAGGAAAUACUUACAUACUGAGGGAUUAAGACAACAUCAUGUCUGCAAAGCACUUGAGUAAAUAGUACAAAAAUAUCAAUUCUGUAUGUGAAUGUGUGCAUAUACAUGUAUGCAUAUAUAUACACACACACAUAAACAAAUAUGCACAUAUACACACAUACUAUCCAAGAUCAGCCUUAACCUUCUCCUGAUCUUGACUACAAUUUUAGACAAAUUUCUUCCUAACUGUAGUUCCCCGGCCUCCCUUUUCUUACAGUAUUUACUUUAGAAAACAUGCAGUUAUAAAUUAUUUCUCAGCCUCUUUGAGGUGUAAAUCUUUUCCGAUCUCUUGCCAGUUUUACAGCUCAGUAAUGUCUUUUUCAAGGACCCAGAAGUCUUCUCUUUGAAAUAUAACCAAGAAAGAUUACAUUGAAGAAAUCUGAGUCAAAACUAGCUAUCUAUACAUUCUUUGUCUCUUUCUCACAAUUUUUUCUGUAAGUCAGAAAUUAUUUUUAUUUUAUGAAGGUAAAAAUCCCUCCCUUCCUGAGUUUAUUCAUUAGUUAGAAAAUUGGUAAAGAAAAGAAUCAAGUACUUCUCCUGCAAACUAUUUCUUAUACAAAAUGUAACAAAGAGUAACCUAAUAAUUGAUGAGGUGAAGUCAUUAUUUAUGAAAGUACUUCAGCCAAUAAAUGAAUAGGGAAUGAUUGAAUUAAACUUUCAACGUUUUGUGUCAUGAAUUAAGGGAGCUAAUUAAUGAUCAUCAGUUGCUGCUGACGUUACAUAAAAGAGACACUAGAUAGUAAGUGCCUCUAAAUGGAACUACAGUACUCUUAUUAUGAAAUAGUAGGGCUUUUUCCCCCUCAUAAAAUUAUUCCAACUGGAAUUUUAUCAAGUAUCUACCUUGCUAUCAAUACACAGAAUAUAUAGAAAAAAGAAGAAGAUGUUGAACCACAUACAGAGGUGCAAUCAGUAAAUCAAGACUGUGGAAAACCCUAAAAGACAAAUGACUCAAUGCAUGCAAGCAACAAAAACAAUAGCAAAAACAAAGGUAAAAAAUAUUACUAGUCACAAUAGUGAAUCCCUGUAUAAUUUACUUAAAAAUAGGAAACGUACUGAUUUAAAUGUACUUAAAAAUCAGGGAAAUGUACUGACCAAUAAAAUCACAUGAUGUCUGAUAUUUCACCUUGAUUGGGGAGUGAGUCCAUACUUGUUGAAGUUGGGUGAUGGGCACGUGGUAGUUCACCCACUCACUCAUGAUAGAUAGAUACACACUCACCUUGAUUGGGGAGUAACUUGAAGCUGGGUGAUGGGCACAAGGUAAUUCAUUAAGCUAGUGUGUCUAUAUUAAUUAACGUUUACAUUUUUUGAUAACAAAAAUUCAAAUAAUGUAAAAACUCUUGUGUCUACAUUAGUCACUUGGUGCAGAGAACAUAAUUGAAGAUCUAUUCUACUAAUUUCAUCAUGGUCAGAAUAAGAUCAUGGCAUGAAGCUGAACAAUGAAAGCAAA
Molecule: long non-coding RNA, 1775 nt
Organism: Macaca fascicularis (crab-eating macaque)
Lineage: Eukaryota; Metazoa; Chordata; Mammalia; Primates; Cercopithecidae
Source: Ensembl